UUAUAGCUUUGCCUUCGCUUAAUAGUAAGCAGCACUGGAGUAUUACCAAAAGUAAAUUACAGUUAUACACCCAUUCCUUUUUUUCUAUGGUAUUAGGUUUAUACACGUUCAAUGCUUAAUAUUAUGAAGCUUUAUAUUUAUUUGUAUUUAACUUUAUUUAUCGAACUUUUAUAAUUUUCCCUAAAAGACAUAUCACACAGAAAACUCCCCAUCAAUAAAAAUAGUAAUAGCUUUUGAAAAAAUCAAAGAGCCGAAGGAAGUAAUAAAACGUAUUGAAACGCGACUCCAGCUUUGCACUAUAUUUAUUAAAUGUAUAAAAGAUUUGUUUAAUUGCGUUACUAUAAAGCAACACUCUGUGUUGUUUUUGGAUGCCGAUUGGUUAACCCAAUUGGACGAAUUCGGCAUCAUAAACCUCAAUAACCUGAUAAAAAUUUACCGAAGAAAAACCUUUUUAGUUGCUGUAUUCAAAAAAAUAUCUCUGGAUAAUUUAAUCUUCUGCAACUAUUUUUCUUGCGAUUAUCUCAUCAUGAAACCCUUAACUACCUUAGAAGUUCUAACAGUUUUAUUAAUAGCUAUGAAAACAUUUCCCAGGAAAUAUAAAGAAAGAAGAGAGCUAUAACUCUUCGAAAACCUAAA
Zophobas morio is the source of this 636-nucleotide long non-coding RNA. RefSeq lists it as uncharacterized. The transcript has 3 exons. The record is from RefSeq and is a predicted model, not a curated record. NCBI's taxonomy places the organism in Eukaryota, Metazoa, Arthropoda, Insecta, Coleoptera, Tenebrionidae.